AGUUUGUGAAAGAAACAUUUCCCUGUAAAUGUUCAAGAACUCAAAUCCACCAGUGAAUUCAUGUCUAUGUAAUGGGAAAACAUCUGGGUAAGGGGUACAAAAAUCUGUUUAUAAAGGAGAUUGUGUUUAACAGGACAUCAUAUUUUGAAAUGUUAGUGCACCCUGGCAGUGCACCUGUUGCAUAAAGCAAUGCUUUCUUUUAUAUAAUAACCCCCCUCCUCCUUUCAGGCUUUCUGUCAUAGAAUCCUAAAUUUCAGUAAAUGAGCCCAUCUUUACCAUAUGCUGUGCUUUUCACAACUUUACAGACGUCGGUUUUAACCCUGCCCAGUCCUUGUCUUUCUCACUAGAAGUGGCUCACCUCUUUUGACCUGUUUCCAUAAGGAUGUUUCUUUCUUUCCCUAGUGAGUUUGUAUUGUCUUCAGGCCAGUGUACCUGCAUCUCUGGUAAUUAGAAUCAUGGUCUGUUAUCUGUCUUGUGGGACACCUAGAGUCACUCCUAAUUUAUAGUUUAAAAAAAAUUGAGUAUAGAAUGGUAAAGGGCUUCUCAUCUCAAUGUGAAAAUAAGUAUCACCUGAUGUGGUGCCCGACUCUCUCUCAAGGCUCUCACCACUUCUUUCUUCUCACAACCACUGCCCCAGUUCAGCUUCUAUUGCCCUUUUUUUUUUUUUUUUGGUUUUUUUGUCUUUUUGCCUUUUCUAGGGCUGCACCUGCGGCAUAGGGAGGUUCCCAGGCUACGGGUCUAAUCAGAGUUAUAGCCACCAGCCUACGCCACAGCUACAGCAACAUGGGAUCCGAGCCACAUCUGUGACCUACACCACAGCUCAUGGCAACACCGGAUCCUUAACUCACUGAGCGAGGCCAGGGAUCGAACCACCUCUAGUCAUCUAGCUAAUUUUUGCUCAUGAUUUAAUAUAAGCAAUAUUAAUAUAUUGCAUUGUUGUCUUUGCCUCAACGAAGUCUUUCUUGUAUCCAGGUUGGGAUUCGUUCCCCCCUCAGCCUUUUGGGGCUCUGUAUGCUUAUCAUCUGUGACAUUCUAUUAUGUUCCUAUAUAGGUGUUUGUGACCAUCUGUCACUUUUAAAUUCCCCCACGUAGAUACUGUGCCUUAGGUAUCUGGCUUUCUGGUGCCUAACACAGCAUUUGGCUCAUGGACAUGCUUCAUUCAUUCAUUCAUUCAUUUGCUCACUUUUGAACUGAAUGGAACCAGGUCACCAAAGAUUACAUAGGUAAUUGGUGGCAGAGGCAAAUGCAGAGAACUUUGGGGGCAAUAUAUGCAGCUACAAUUUGGCCUUGAAUGAUUAUACCUCGAAUUGAAUUAGACAUCCUUGGAGCACAAGGUCUAAAAGAUCAAUGCCUUGGCCUGUGGACUUUCUGGCCAAGAAGUGCAUGCAUUCUUAAGAGGAACAUAAACACAGCUCAUGCUGGUUAUACAGCAGCUUGGGUAGAUGGAUUUAUACUUCAUCAGACAGUUGGUCCCUGGGUAGAAAUGUGGGCCACGGGCCAGGAGACCCCAGUUCAAUUUCCAGUUAAGUCAUCUCUGUUUAUUUCUCACAAAAUACAUAUUUUAAAAAAAUGGAAAUUAAAACGUCAUGCCUAAAACACUCUACAGUAAACAGAGGUCUUAAAAGAAGAGCUAUUGCCAGCACCACUUUUUGUUAAAGCUGCAUCCAAUUUAAAGUUCUUUUAUACCCAGGAUACAGAAUGGUGUGCAGAGUGCUGCAGAAGUCGCUGCACAUCUGAUCAGGCACUCUGGCAGGCCUUUUCUCUGUACAGGAUACUCACAGGCUUGAGGGCUGGCUCUGGACAUUGAUGGAUGCCUACAUGGGGCGUGGGACCCUAGGCAUUUACCUCCACAGCCCAGUCCUUUCUGCAGUGCUCCACCAAUUCUCUUGGUUUGUAGGUAUCUCCCUUCUCUUUGCGUCCUUCCCUCUCUUGGUCCCAUACCUGUCACCUCCUGAUCUGUCCCUCUGUAUCCAUUGUUGUUCCUAUUCAGUGGAUCCUGAUCCUUUCACUCGCACCAUAUACGUCUGCAGCCCCCUGUUGCUCUUGGGACACAGGCAAAAAUCCUUAACCCGGAGUUCCCGUCAUGGCUCAGUGGAAACAAAUCUAACAUCCAUGGGGACACAGCUUCAAUCCCUGGCCUCGCUCAGUGGGUUAAGGAUCUGGUGUUUAGCUGUGUACUGUGGUUUAGGUCCCAGGCAUGGUUUGGAUCUGGCAUUGCUGUGACUGUGGUAUAUACCGGCAGCUACAGCUCUGAUUCAACCCCUAACCUGGGAACCUCCAUAUGCUGGAGGUGAGGUGCAAGCCCUAAGAAGACAAAAGACAAAUAAAUAAAGUGUGUCCUAUUACUAUACUUCUUGAGGGCUUAAGCGACUUAAUCACAGUCACAUGGAGUUGCUGUGAGAUGGGAUUUGAACCCCAGCAGAUUUGCCCUGAGUCAUAAAGAUUCAGUUGAGACACAGUUGUCUUCUCAGUAGGUGAAGUUUCUCCACCUUUGUUUCAUGAUUGCCCUUUUAAGAGCCCUUUUACACCUGUUUUUACUAAUCCUCUCCUCAUGAAAUUUUAAUGCUACAGAUAGACAGUUGUGAGCAGAAUAGUGCUUUCACCCCCCUCCUCUCAAGACACCCACAUCCUACAUCCUGGAACCUGUGAAUACAUCAUAUUACAAGGUAAGGGCGAAUUACGGCUGCAGAAGAUAUUAACAUUACUCAUCCAUGACCUUGAGUUGGGUAGAUUAUUUUGGAUUAUUGUGGUGAGCCCAGUGUAAUCACAAGGGUUUGAUAAGUAGAAGAGGGAGGCGGGGGAGUCAGUGUGAGGGAAAUGCAGUUAGGAAAGACUUGACUGCUGUUGCUGGCUUCAAGAAUGGAAGACGGCCAUGAGCCAGGGAAUGUGGGCAGCCUCUUGAAGCUGGAAAAGGCAAGGAAACAGAUUCUUCCCUGGAGCAUGAGAAGGAACGCAGCCAGGCCAACACCUUGUUUUCAGUCCAGUGAGACCCAUUUCAAACUUCCGACUCCCAGGAAUGGAAGAUAAUAAAUUUGUGUUAUCUUAAGCUACUAAGCUUAUGAUAAUUUGCUACAGCGGCAGCAGAGAACUAAUGCAACAAAUCCAACUCUGUGUGUAUGUUGGUAUAUGUACACAUACCUACAGUUGCAUACACUGCAUGUACCAUAUGCAGGUCUGUGAUUUAUAUGUAGAAUGAGUACAUUUUCCUUCACCACCAGGGAACCACUCCUCCCCCCCAGGGGGGGCGUGCACAUUGCCUCUGUUGCUAAUACAUGUUCUGGACAACAAGAACAAGAAUUGUCUCUGGUUUUGAUGACUGCUUUAGCUUCCAUUCCCAGCAUGGUGCCUGGCACAUAGUAGGCACUGAAGUAUUUGUUGACUUGGUGAGUGCAUGAAAAAAAUGGAUGAAUGAUGAUGAGGGACCUGAAUUAAAUAAACUUCUUAUGAAAAAUAAAAAGGGCUAAAGGACUCCAUGUUGGAAGGGAGUGAAUAAAUGUUUUUGAUUAACAGUGAGACUAUAGCACCGUGAACGCCAUUCACCUCCAUAGAUUUAUCAAUGUCCGGGAGCAUUUGGUUAAAGUGACCAAGGCACAAUGAGGCAGACGCUAACCCUCUUCCUCUUCACCUGUCAAGUGUCCAUUUGGAAGGCAUUUUCUAGGGCUUGGAUUUCGGUAGCCUUGCUUUUGCAGGAGAACCCACAUCCCCACAUGGUUUUCUGGCUACCUCCUCCCUGGGUCUGGGGAAGGUACAGGCUCUUCCUGGGGCCUGCUCUGUGUCUGUCUUGUGGUGAUGAUGGGAGUAUUAAACAUCUUUGGAGGACAGGCCAUGUUGGCUUUGGUUCUUCCCCUGGCACUGGUGAGUUCAGCACAUUCCUUUCUGACUCUCCUAGAGAUGCUGUGUGGGAUAGUCAGGCAGCACCACCCCAUCGGGGUGAAUCCAGUGGGAGGAAAUGCGGAACGUGCCCAGCUCUGUACUUGCAUGCCAUCGGGGACCGGGCAAAAUCUGGAGGGUUGUUGGAAGGGGGCCCGGGUCUUUGGGGAGGUGGCCAAAGUGAGAUUGGGGCAUCGUGCAGCACAGGAGACCUCUGUGGGGUUGGGGGGAGUAACUUCCCAGGCACAUGUGAGGGGUGGCUGUAGAGCCUCACUUGGCAGAGUUGGUGCCUUCACUUGAUCUCACCACAAGGCAGUGCUGGUCUCCAGGGCCUGUGCAUGGCUAACAAGGAACACUUGUCUGGCGUUCACAUUUGCAAAUAACUUUCCUGUGUAAGAGCUCAGGAUGAUGAGUCUUAAGGGGGUCUGGCCUAACCUCUCUGUGGCUGUUUUGUUUCCAUAUUUUAGCAGUCAUUGAUUCCACUGCCUACUGUGUGCAAUGAUAACAGCAAACACAAACAUUUGGAUCAGAUUUUCUGUUCAACAUAUUUUUUGACUUCCAUUAGCCAAUUCAUACCCAAUCCUGUGAGACUGCAUCUUAUGCCUUCAUUUUUCAGAUGAAAAAACUGAAGGUUAGCAAAGCCUAUGAACAUGCCCUGUUCAUUAGGCCACGGAAAAUAAUAGUAUGAUCUACCAGAGUAUGUAUGUGCUGUAAGUGCUCAUAUUUCUUGAAUUCCCAGAGCACUGGGGUAGGCAUUAUUACUAUCCAUUGUCAAAUGGGAAAAUUGAGGCACAAGAUGACUAACAACUUGCCCAAGCUCAGACAGCUUCUAAGAAGAAGGAGGACUUGAAAUCAGGUAGCCCAGCUUCAUAAGCCAUAGUAUCAACCACUGUGCCACUCUGCAUCCCCACAAAAUGGUAUUUCCAGUGGUGAAUCCUAUACCCUUCUUUCCUGUCUACCUUGGGUCCUUUCUAUGCCACGCAGUCUGAGAAGGAAAAUGAUAUUGUUUCUGCUUAUCAUCUGGGUGGGAGAGUAAGGUGUGGUGACUUUUCAGGGCAGAAAGCUGUAAGUACUAAGGCAGAGGUCAGGGGGAGCUCUGAGGCACCACGAAGAAUGGCCCAGGAGACUUAUACCCUGUGGUAUCCACAGCCCCCUACCCAGCGGACGUUGCUUAUGCUGGCCUCUGUGUCCCAAAUUCUUGCUUGAAUGGAGUGGUCCUUGCAGUUGUCCUGGAUUAGUCAUUUGACAUCGUAUUUAGGGGUUUGGGAGACCAUGUUUCUUUUAGAAAAUCUCUACCAUAUGCAGCAUGCCCAGUAAACAUCAGAGUUCAUUGGCAAGCAAACUGCUGAAAAGAAGUACUCUAAGUUGUCCUGCACCAGGUGCCUAAAGACAGAGACCCCUUUGGGCUCUGGCUUUCCUUGGCUGGGUUCUCAUCAGCUUGGAAGGAUCAUCUGUUGCUGCCUGGGCUGGGUGCUGUCUUUUCUAAUUUUGGAUUGAACCCAGUACCUACAUGGCACUUUCUCCCAGCCACUAGCCUGAUUUAGCCUUUACUCCUACCUCCCCUUGGACAUCAUUUUCUAGCCUGAGAUGCCAUCUUUUUCCUAUGUUUUACAAACUCCAAAUUGUAAUAUAUAGGUUUGGCACAUGUUUGUAUACUUCUGGGAAUAAUGAUUUAUAAUAUUUGAAAUUAGAGGUGUCUUUAAUUUCUUAAACAUUUUGUCAUCACCAUACUACCACCAUAAUUUUUCCAGAAUCUUUACUAUCUGGCUGAUGUAAUUAUCUCUUUCUUUUGUUAACCAUGCAAGAAAGUCUAGUUCCUUCAUUGGGUUCUCUCCUCAUCUUUACUUGCCCAUUCUGAGUCUAUGCCUUUGUCAUCACAGCUUGAAACUCCUGGAUCCCUGGCCAAUCAAUGCCUUAUAUGUGUAUUUAGGGGACAUUUGUUUAUUUCCUGAGGGCCUUAAAGUUAGUUAGCCCCCAUCCCAAACCCAGUUGGCAUACAGUUUGUUUGGAUAGUUGGAAAAUAAGUUACAUAAAAGUUUGUGUCUCACUCAUUGGUAAUGAUCUUGGAUAGUCUUGCUUUGUGUCUUAUAGUAAAAAGGUGAUGAUUUGCAAGUAUGAUUGUAUCACUAAGUAAUAGAAAACCAUUUGCUGGCAUGUUUUCUUAGCACUUUAUUUGUAACCUUUGUAUAGAUUUUAGUAGCUGUGUUGGAGUUAUCUGUUUUCAUGUUUGUUUCUCCUAUAGAUAAGUUUAUUACAAUCAGAAAUCUUUUUCUCAUUCAUUUUUGCCUUUCUAAGCAUGGUGCUAGGAACAAAAUAUGUGUUCAAUAAAUGGUAUGGAAAAAA
This 6213-nucleotide long non-coding RNA is filed under the name Sus scrofa (pig). Its description in RNAcentral is "lncRNA (ENSSSCG00050068416.1)". The record is from RNAcentral. Lineage: Eukaryota; Metazoa; Chordata; Mammalia; Artiodactyla; Suidae.